UACGGAGGGUGCAAGCGUUAUCCGGAUUCACUGGGUUUAAAGGGUGCGUAGGUGGGUUGGUAAGUCAGUGGUGAAAUCUCCGAGCUUAACUUGGAAACUGCCAUUGAUACUAUCAGUCUUGAAUAUUGUGGAGGUUAGCGGAAUAUGUCAUGUAGCGGUGAAAUGCUUAGAUAUGACAUAGAACACCAAUUGCGAAGGCGGCAUCCUGGACCAACACUGACGCUGAGUGAGCGAAAGCCAGGGGAGCAAACGGG
This 254-nucleotide ribosomal RNA is filed under the name uncultured bacterium. Its description in RNAcentral is "partial 16S ribosomal RNA". It matches the Rfam family "Bacterial small subunit ribosomal RNA", at positions 524 to 776 of the family's 1533-position model. The record is from RNAcentral.